RNAcentral lists this long non-coding RNA (268 nucleotides) under Elaeis guineensis (African oil palm). RNAcentral describes it as "long non-coding RNA (EGUI_LNC025469)". The record is from RNAcentral. Lineage: Eukaryota; Viridiplantae; Streptophyta; Magnoliopsida; Arecales; Arecaceae.
AACUAGGUUAGUCAGAUAUGAGAUUGUACUGAUUUGAAUCUGAUUAGUCAGACAUCAGAUGUGCUAACUUAGAAGAGAUAUGAACCUAAAUCUCCUCAUUAAAUAUUAAGUCUACCGAUCUUCCACCGUUAUAGAGAUGCGGGUGCCUUUUCUGACGUUGAUCGUUCUUGGCUAGUUAUAAUGGUUUGAUUACAUCGGAAGGGCACAAUCACUUUAUUGGCAUUACAUACCUCGGGGUAAAGAUGGGGUUAGGCCCAAUAAUUGUUAG